This 412-nucleotide long non-coding RNA is filed under the name Monodelphis domestica (gray short-tailed opossum). RNAcentral's name for it is "lncRNA (ENSMODG00000021231.2)". The record is from RNAcentral. Lineage: Eukaryota; Metazoa; Chordata; Mammalia; Didelphimorphia; Didelphidae.
AGAGUGAAAAUAUUUAAAAUUUUUAAACUUUACUUUGCCUUUUUUACUCUAGUGAACUUUAUCUUAGUGGAAAUUACUUACAAUGUUCUGGGGCCUUGGCUCUCAUCGAACCUAUAGCAGAAUUUGCAGAAAACCAGGGAAAAGAUAAAGCAACAAAGCUUUUACAAGACAGAAGGAGUCCAUCUCAACAAAUGCUUCAAGGUAAAUUGGAAGUGGAGGAACACCUGGUCACUCGGGCACAAACAUUCCAUCUUAUAAAAUAUUCUGGCCACUUAAGAGAAAUAGAUCUUGGCAAUAAUGUUCUGGGAGAAAUUGCUGCUACUAAUAUACUGGAAGCACUAAAGGAACGAAAGAAAGGUAGAGUAUUUCUAAUUUCUUAUACUACGAAAUACCUCUAUUUUAAAGGCUAGAU